This 83-nucleotide transfer RNA is filed under the name Methanosarcina sp. Its description in RNAcentral is "tRNA-OTHER". The record is from RNAcentral. Lineage: Archaea; Methanobacteriati; Methanobacteriota; Methanomicrobia; Methanosarcinales; Methanosarcinaceae.
GCGAGAGGUGCCCAGCUAGGUCAAAAGCGCUUUUCAGAACCUGGUUUCGUAGGAAUUCGUGCGUUCGAAUCGCACCUCUCGCA